UACGGGGGGGGCAAGCGUUGUUCGGAAUUACUGGGCGUAAAGGGUUCGUAGGUGGCUUGCUUAGUCAGACGUGAAAUCCCUCAGCUUAACCAGGGAACUGCGUCUGAUACUGGAUGGCUUGAGUUUGGGAGAGGGAUGCGGAAUUCCAGGUGUAGCGGUGAAAUGCGUAGAUAUCUGGAGGAACACCGGUGGCGAAGGCGACAUCCUGGACCAACACUGACGCUGAGUGAGCGAAAGCCAGGGGAGCAAACGGG
RNAcentral lists this ribosomal RNA (254 nucleotides) under uncultured bacterium. RNAcentral describes it as "partial 16S ribosomal RNA". It matches the Rfam family "Bacterial small subunit ribosomal RNA", at positions 524 to 776 of the family's 1533-position model. The record is from RNAcentral.